This is an RNA transcript of Phyllopteryx taeniolatus (common seadragon), 1805 nucleotides long. It is a transcript of the gene named RNA binding motif protein X-linked, with no coding region annotated. The transcript is spliced from 10 exons. The record is from RefSeq and is a predicted model, not a curated record. NCBI's taxonomy places the organism in Eukaryota, Metazoa, Chordata, Actinopteri, Syngnathiformes, Syngnathidae.
GGAAAGAAGAAGGGGUGGAGCUUGAGCACUCUGUUGAAAAGCGCCCUUUUUUCAUUUGUGUCUCCUUUCUCUGCCACAUUAACAUCAAUAGGAACCAUAGCGAGGUGUUUUAGCUUAUUUUAUAACGUAUUAAGUGGCCGAGUGAUUCUUAUCUUGUCGUUCACGCCACUAAUCAGUCGCCUGCGACGUUUCGUGAGUCGAGUAACAAACACGCUAUAUCGCCAUUUUGUGUAUUCAACAACACAAAGAAGCAUGGCCGAAGCAGACCGACCAGGCAAACUGUUUAUCGGCGGGCUGAAUACCGAGACCACCGAGAAGGCCUUGGAACAGUACUUCAGCAAAUAUGGCAGGAUUGUUCAAGUUCUUCUGAUGAAAGACCGUGAAACAAACAAGUCAAGGGGGUUUGCAUUUGUGACGUUCGAUAAUCCAGCAGAUGCAAAGGAUGCAGCACGUGAGAUGAACGGAAAGUCUCUUGAUGGCAAGUCUAUCAAAGUGGAGCAGGCUACCAAGCCUCAGUUUGAGUCUGGAGGCAGGCGAGGACCCCCAUCCAUGCACUCUCGCAGUCGUGGCCCACCCAGGGGCCUCCGGGGAUCCAGGGGAGGUGGAAUGAGAGGCCCACCAUCCAGAGACUACUAUGAUGACGACAAUGGAGAACCCUUCUUUAAGGGGAUGUCGUCAAGAGGUCCCCCUCCGAUGAAGAGAGGACCACCUAUGCGCAAUGGAGGCCCUCCACCGAAACGAUCUGCUCAAUCUGGUCCCAUGAACAGACCCCCAAUGUCAAGGGACAGGGACCCAUAUGGUCCACCCCCUCGCAGAGACUCCAUGAUGUCCAGAAGGGAUGACUAUCCAUCACCUAGAGAUGACCAUUACAACUCAAAAGAUGGAUACUCCAGUCGGGAUUAUAACUCGAGAGAUUCAAGGGACUAUGGACCACCUCCAAGAGAUUAUUCAUACCGGGAUUACUCCAGUUCCCGGGAUGACUAUGGCUCAAUGUCCAGGGGUUACAGUGACCGUGAUGGCUAUGGUGGAGGACGGGAUUCCAGAAGCUACAUGGACCGUCCGAGCGGCGGCAGUGGUGGUGGCGGAGGCUCGUACAGAGAUUCGUUUGAUGGUUACGGAUGAACACACUUGAAGGAAAACAUUCCUUGUUAGGCACCAACUGACCUUGGAUUCUCAGACCAGUGGACCAAAUAUGAACACAUUCCAGUCCGUGCAGGCUGCCCCAGGGCUGAGACAACUGGUUGAAAAACUUCUGGAAAAUGAAGAGGCUGAGGAUUGGCUCCAAAUCUUGUUUAGAAUAAAUGACAAAAACCUGAGCUGCUAAGUAUUUGUUUCAAAGACUGAAAGAAUUAAACUUCAAAGAAAAUAACUUCAAAAUUGAACUGAUUUUCGAUUACAUUGACAAUACAGUCUUCCUAAACAAAUGGCUUUCUCUUCGCUCAUUCAGCAUGUCCCAACAGAAGAUGGGUAAAAGCUUUGGAAUGCUCAAAGGCUGAGCUUUUUUUUAUUUCUUUUUAAUUAUUUUUUAAAAGAAUUAAGUGAUUUUCUAUACACAACCAAAUAAGUCAUACAUUCUGAUCUUUUUGUUACAUAACAUGCUAAAUAUUCGUUAACAUUAGGCCUGUAAUGAUACAGUAUCCAAGCAGAAAAUUGCGAUAUUCAAGGUCUGAACACACAAACCGCCACGUGCUCCUUGCAAAUCCCAGUUUUUGCCACCCAUCCAGAUGCAGUGAAUGAGCUCAGUGCUACCAUACAUAAUAGGAAGAAUUUAAAAAAUAAAGCUAUAUUGAAGAUGCAUUUCCUCA